RNAcentral lists this ribosomal RNA (253 nucleotides) under uncultured bacterium. RNAcentral describes it as "partial 16S ribosomal RNA". It matches the Rfam family "Bacterial small subunit ribosomal RNA", at positions 524 to 776 of the family's 1533-position model. The record is from RNAcentral.
UACGUAGGGUGCAAGCGUUGUCCGGAAUUAUUGGGCGUAAAGAGCUCGUAGGCGGCUUGUCACGUCGACUGUGAAAACCCGGGGCUCAACUCCGGGCCUGCAGUCGAUACGGGCUGGCUUGAGUGCGGUAGGGGAGACUGGAAUUCCUGGUGUAGCGGUGAAAUGCGCAGAUAUCAGGAGGAACACCGGUGGCGAAGGCGGGUCUCUGGACCGGUACUGACGCUGAGACGCGAAAGCGUGGGGAGCGAACAGG